AUUGAACGCUGGCGGCAGGCCUAACACAUGCAAGUCGAACGGUAGCACAGAGAGCUUGCUCUCGGGUGACGAGUGGCGGACGGGUGAGUAACGUCUGGGAAACUGCCCGAUGGAGGGAGAUAACUACUGGAAACGGUAGCUAAUACCGCAUAACGUCGCAAGACCAAAGUGGGGGACCUUAGGGCCUCACACCAUCGGAUGUGCCCAGAUGGGAUUAGCUAGUAGGUGGGGUAAUGGCUCACCUAGGCGACGAUCCCUAGCUGGUCUGAGAGGAUGAACAGACACACUGGAACUGAGACACGGUCCAGACUCCUACGGGAGGCAGCAGUGGGGAAUAUUGCACAAUGGGCGCAAGCCUGAUGCAGCCAUGCCGCGUGUAUGAAGAAGGCCUUCGGGUUGUAAAGUACUUUCAGCGGGGAGGAAGGCGGUGAAGUUAAUAACUUCACCGAUUGACGUUACCCGCAGAAGAAGCUCCGGCUAACUCCGUGCCAGCCGCCGCGGUAA
RNAcentral lists this ribosomal RNA (504 nucleotides) under uncultured bacterium. RNAcentral's name for it is "partial 16S ribosomal RNA". It matches the Rfam family "Bacterial small subunit ribosomal RNA", at positions 30 to 523 of the family's 1533-position model. The record is from RNAcentral.